Sceloporus undulatus (fence lizard) is the source of this 662-nucleotide long non-coding RNA. RefSeq lists it as uncharacterized. NCBI's taxonomy places the organism in Eukaryota, Metazoa, Chordata, Lepidosauria, Squamata, Phrynosomatidae. The transcript is spliced from 4 exons. The record is from RefSeq and is a predicted model, not a curated record.
CAAUAAGAGGCUGCAGUGAGUGUUCUUUUGCACUGUCCAUAAGGCAGCAUGUAACUGGGAGUGGAUCAUGCGAUCAUAGCUGGGAAAGCUCUGCUAAGAGUCCCAGUGCAGUGCGAGAGCCCAAAAAGUGAACACACAGCUGCCCUGCGUUGGUCCUUUUGCUUUUUUUGGUGGGCAUCACCUAUAAACCUUUUUAUUUUCCCACCGUCUCCAACUUAAUUUAUACACCACAGUAUACAGAAGGGCAGGAUGGACUUUGGAGUGAUUGGUUCCCAUUCUGGGUUGGUAAUGGUUGGCCAGUUAUUUUUGGCUGGAGCAACUGUCCUCAGUUCUUUCAACUUGUAUGUUUUUAAGCCCUAUGACACUUAUAAUGACUUUCUUCAAGGCGAAUAUUCCUUUUGCCGGAGUCAGCGUUUAUGUUGCGUGAUGAUGUUGAUAAUUGGUUGAACUGCUGUAUGCCCUCAUCCAUGACUCCAAGGUUCAACUGGGAAAGUUCCUGGUCAUUAUCCUAUGAUCUUCGUUGCAGAAGUGGCAGCCUUUGUUCUGGAUGUAUUUAUAGAGGAAAGAUAAAAACAGAUGUGCAUGAACCAAUGGUACACAAAUUCAUGGUCUAUGAUGGGGAAAGUGGAGAGUCUUCGGCCAUAGAUAACUUACAAAGAGAG